Molecule: long non-coding RNA, 418 nt
Organism: Solanum pennellii
Lineage: Eukaryota; Viridiplantae; Streptophyta; Magnoliopsida; Solanales; Solanaceae
Exons: 2
Source: RefSeq, a predicted model, not a curated record
ACUUUUCUUCUUCAUUGUUCUUCCUCUCUUCUGUUUCUCAAAUCUGAUUUUUCAUUGCUUCCAACCAAUUUCCAGCAAUUUUCAACUUUCGAAUCUCAACUUAUCAAGCAACAAUUUUCUCUCUUUUUCAGAUGGGUCAUAGAUUGGAAGAAAUCAAAUCAGUAACAAGGCUUUUUUUUAUUUUUUCUAACGUAUAGCUCAUUUGUUGCAGUAGAUAGGGCAUCUGUUACAGUAGAUGAUCCAUCUAUCGCAACAGACAAGUCAUCUAUUGAAAGAAAUCAAAUUAGUAGACUAUUUUGAUUUCUUACAACAGAUGAAUUGUUUGUUGCAAUAGAUGAUCUAUUUGUUAUAACAUAUUGUAUUAUUAAUUGAUGAUUGUAUUAUGUUGUAUUUAUUAAAUUUAUUGUUAUUUUUUUAA